Long non-coding RNA from Alligator sinensis (Chinese alligator), 96 nucleotides. RefSeq lists it as uncharacterized. The record is from RefSeq and is a predicted model, not a curated record. NCBI's taxonomy places the organism in Eukaryota, Metazoa, Chordata, Crocodylia, Alligatoridae. The transcript has 3 exons.
CCUACAGGCAACCAGAAAGACAACACCCAGCUGAGCAGCUGCUCAGGAACACCUUGGAGGAUCCCUGCUGGUACCAAGAGGCUAGUGAUUGCCACC